GGCUGAGGCCAGCAGGGGUGGCAGGGACUUGCUUUCCCGCGCUGGCCUUGGCUGCCCUGCCCUCCUGUUGUGAUCCCCUCCCCAGGGACUACUGGUCUCUAUUUCCAAAAGACACCUGCGCUGCCUCUCCACCUGUUACCGGGAUCCCCUUGGUUGGGGGAAGCUUAAGAAGGAGCCGCAGCGGCCGGGCGCGGUGGCUCAAGCCUGUAAUCCCAGCACUUUGGGAGGCCGAGACGGGCGGAUCACGAGGUCAGGAGAUCGAGACCAUCCUGGGUAACACAGUGAAACCCCGUCUCUACUAAAAAAAAUACAAAAACUUAGCCGGGCGAGGUGGCAGGCGCCUGUAGUCCCAGCUACUCGGGAGGCUGAGGCAGGAGAAUGGUGUGAACCCGGGAGGCGGAGCUUGCAGUGAGCUGAGAUCCGGCCACUGCACUCCAGCCUGGGUGACAGAGCGAGACUCCGUCUCAAAAAAAAAAAAAAAAAAAAAAAAAAAGAAGGAGCCGCAGCUCUGGAUGCAAGGCAGGGAUCUCCCAUUGCUGCUGGAAAGUAAGGGGCCGGAGAGACCGAAUGGGGUGUAGGACAGUUUACUCAAGGUGUACACCAGCUCGGUGGACUCACAUCUAGAAAGUCUGAGCACUAGACGAAGAAAGCAGUUGUCUUUUAAGUAGUUUGUGGCAGGAGCUACAUGAUGCAGGAAUAUUUUACAGUGACAUUAUUGUUAUUUUUUAAUUUUUUUACUUGCCCAUUCCAGCCACCCUGCACACACCCAAAGCAGUCUGGCUGCCACCAGCCUCCAGGGAACAUCAAGAGUGGGAGUGAGGAGACCAUGAGGAUCCCUGCUGCCUUGGAGGGCAGGACAGGGAACCUGGCCAGUGAGCACUUUCCAUGGGAUGUGGAGGUGAAGGGGACACCCUCCCUGAUUCCGGACACAUCUACACACAUCUAGGCUGAUGGGAUGGUUGCAGCGAGUUGACUUGUGAUCCUCCAAAAAGAUACAUCGGGGUCCUAACACCUAGCACUUGCGACUGUCAUCUUUUUUGGAAACAAGGUCUUUGCAGAUGUAAUUAAGUGAAAGAUCUCAAGAUGUAAUCACUCUAGAUUUACAGCGGGCCGUACAUGCGAUGGGUGGUGUCCUUACAAGAAAGAAAACGGGGACAUCUUAGUCACGAAGGCACAGAGAGAGAAGAAGGCCACGUGGAGACGGAGGCAGGGGCUGGAGUCAUGAAAUCCUCAGCCAAGGAACACCAAGAGUUGCUGGCAGCCCCCGGAAACUAGGACAGAGACCUGGGAUGGAUUCUCCAGAGAGCCUCUGGAGGGAACCAGCCCUGCCAACACCUUGAUUCUGGGCUCUGGCCUCCAGAACUGUGAGAGAAUUAAUUUCUGGUUUUGUAAGCUGCCAAGUUUGCAGUAAUUUGUCAUGGCUGCCCCAGGAAAGGAACGCAGAUGACAUUAGCCCCAGCCUGUGCUAAGGGCGCUGAGCAGACUGCAGCCGAGUGGAGGGCAGGGAGGCCCUGCCCCGGGAGCCACACUUGACAGGGGCCUGUAACCUUAUGGGAAGACACACAGACAGGGGAGGAUCCAUUCAGUAAUGAGGUAACUGGCUGGUGGGACCCCGGCCCAGGGAGGGGGCUUGUGGGCCAGG
Molecule: long non-coding RNA, 1642 nt
Filed under: Macaca mulatta (Rhesus monkey)
Lineage: Eukaryota; Metazoa; Chordata; Mammalia; Primates; Cercopithecidae
Description: lncRNA (ENSMMUG00000052593.1)
Source: RNAcentral